RNAcentral lists this transfer RNA (72 nucleotides) under Ixodes scapularis (black-legged tick). It matches the Rfam family "tRNA". Rfam says of the family: Transfer RNA (tRNA) molecules are approximately 80 nucleotides in length. Their secondary structure includes four short double-helical elements and three loops (D, anti-codon, and T loops). Lineage: Eukaryota; Metazoa; Arthropoda; Arachnida; Ixodida; Ixodidae. The record is from Rfam by way of RNAcentral.
UCCUGGUUAGCUCAGUUGGUAGACGCUUCACUGGAAAUGUAAAGGACCCUGGUUCGAUACCAGGACCAGGUG